Papaver somniferum (opium poppy) is the source of this 853-nucleotide long non-coding RNA. RefSeq lists it as uncharacterized. The transcript has 2 exons. Lineage: Eukaryota; Viridiplantae; Streptophyta; Magnoliopsida; Ranunculales; Papaveraceae. The record is from RefSeq and is a predicted model, not a curated record.
UCCUACAAACUACCUAUCUCUUUUUUUCUAUUCCAGCUCCAUGGCUGCACCACCACCUCUCCAUCUGUGUUUGUUUAGCGAACUUAAAAUCAAAAUCAAAAUCUUAUCAAAUCCAACGAUGUUAGGGUACCGACCCCAAAUGCAAAAAUGAAGACGCAUAGAUUGAGAGGAUUCGAGAACUCGGGUAUGACUCACUGAGUUGAUAAAAGCUUAAGAAACCUCUGCUACCUCAAUUUUUUUUUACAGAUCUGAAUUUCUUCAAAUUAAUUGAAUUAAGAGGUACCAUUUAUGCAAUUUGUACUAUGUAUUGUUCCUCUUGUGUCAAAUUGAGAGAACGAAUGAAGAGAUAGGUCGUUUUUAAAAUUUGUUGGUGAUGGUAUUGGUUGCGGUUUCUAAUGGUGGUAAUGGUGCUCCUGGAAUUGACGGGGGUGAAAGAAGAGGCCGGUGGUGGUGACAAUUGAAGAAGAUGAACCUGAAUGUUGAGAAUGUAUUGGUGGUGGUGGUUUUGCUUCCUUGCUGGGGUGUGGUGUAUGAUGUUUAGGUGGUGCUGCUGGUUACAACGCAGGUGGUGGUGAAGGAAUAUCGUAGCAGAGAUGGUGGUGAAGAAAUUACAAAGAAAUCGAGAGGAGGAAGAAGGAUAAAGAAAGGAAAAUAAGAAUUAAAUUGAAAUUUUUGGAGCUGGCUGGGAUUCGAACUUAAGCCCUCUAACUCGAGUUUAACCAUUUUAAUUUAUCACCCGUGUUUUUGUUUUUUCAUUUUACAAAAAUGUCCUCGACAUUGUAAUUAUUUACUUCUGUUUAAAGAAGGAAAAAAAUCAAGGAUGGGCAGUGAGGUCCUUUCAUCGUGAACCAAA